Molecule: ribosomal RNA, 253 nt
Filed under: uncultured bacterium
Lineage: Bacteria
Description: partial 16S ribosomal RNA
Rfam family: Bacterial small subunit ribosomal RNA
Source: RNAcentral
UACAGAGGUCUCAAGCGUUGUUCGGAUUCACUGGGCGUAAAGGGUGCGUAGGUGGCGAGGUAAGUCGGAUGUGAAAUCUCCGAGCUCAACUCGGAAAUGGCAUUGGAAACUACCUUGCUCGAGGGUUGGAGGGGGGACUGGAAUACUUGGUGUAGCAGUGAAAUGCGUAGAUAUCAAGUGGAACACCAGUGGCGAAGGCGAGUCCCUGGACAACUCCUGACACUGAGGCACGAAAGCUAGGGGAGCAAACAGG